AACAUAAAAAGAAACUUCUGAUUAUUUUAAUAAUGGUUAUUUCAGAAGUAAUGUACUACCAGGUGUACAUUUUGAGUAUUUGUAGAAAGGAGAUGUUUUAAAUUGUUUAUUUGUAAACUAGUGCAUUUGGCCUUUCUUUAUAAACAGAGAUUGGCAAUAUGAUUUAGUAUUCAGGAAGGAACAUGGGCUUGGCCAUGGGUUCAAAUUCUAGUUUCCUCACUUGUUGGAGGUGAAGUUUUAGGAUAGUUUUGUAACCUCUGUGAGCUGUCACCGUUAUUUAUGAAAUAGUACUGAUAAUUACCAUCUUUCAAGGGGAGGUUUAGAGAUAAUCUCCGUACCUGCCUAACAGGGUUUUGUACAUAGGAGCAAAGUAAAGCAAUAGCAACAAUUAUUAAUAUAAGGUUGACUGUGGAAUGGAAUUAGUAUCAUAUGAUACAGUGUGGAUGUUUGGACUCAAAGCACCUCAUUAUCGUGGAGUUUUACUCACAGGGAAACAGAUUGGAAGUAGUAAAGUAUGGCACAAUAUGACCUUUUCUUGUUUAUGUUUAUGUUGCAGCAUUUCAGCAUCAGUACUAAAAUUACUUACAUUCAGGUUAAAUAGUCAAUAUAUUUAUAUAUUUUCCAUCUUUUAUGGACACGGUUUUCUUUUGACAAUUGUUUAAGAUAUCCUAUGUUUGUAUUGGUUGGUUUGAUAAACCUAGCCAAUGGGUAAGGCAAGGUCACAGGAGAGAUUAAAUAUUUGCUUGUAGGACUUAAAUAUUUUCAUAAAAAUAUAACUUUUUAUCCUUAACUUAAACCUGUAAAAAUAAAUAAUUAAAAAUUUUCAUUUGGGCAAUUCCGGGGACGAGGACACAGCCACCCUUCUACCCGGCUGCCCAUGAUCACUUGGUGGCGGAGAUGUCUGCUGCCAGCGCCUGAGGCCUGUGGGCCACCUACCACCGGCUCCUCGACAAAGUGGAGCUGAUACUGCUCGAGAAAUUGAGGCCGUUGUACAACCACCCAGCAGGCCCCAAAACAGUUUUUUGUGCUCUAAUUAUGAAAUGGGGAUUGGUGGGUGCUGGAUUGGCUGAUAUGGCCAGACCUGCAGAAAAACUCAGCACAGCUCAGUCUGCUGUUUUGAUGGCUACAGGGUUUAUUUGGUCAAGAUAUUCACUUGUAAUUAUUCCAAAAAACUUGAGUCUGUUUGCUGUUAAUUUCUUUGUGGGGGCAGCAGGAACCUCUCAACUUUUUCGAAUUUGGAGAUAUAAACAAGAACUAAAAGCUAAAGCAAACCAAUAAAAGAAUUCCUCAUCACCUGAACAUUCUAGAUGUGAACAUAACCACUGGGACCUAGUGGAUUGUUUGAUGAUUGAUAAGGCAAUGUUAACUAUGGUGACAUUUGGAAGGCACCAGAAAAAUCUAACUGUAACUUGUAGCUAGUGUUUGAUUCAACAGAAAAAUAAAGUGAACUUU
RNA transcript from Otolemur garnettii (small-eared galago), 1452 nucleotides. It is a transcript of the gene named mitochondrial pyruvate carrier 2 pseudogene, with no coding region annotated. NCBI's taxonomy places the organism in Eukaryota, Metazoa, Chordata, Mammalia, Primates, Galagidae. The transcript has a single exon. The record is from RefSeq and is a predicted model, not a curated record.